CGAAAGCCUGACGGAGCAACGCCGCGUGAGGGAUGAAGGCCUCUGGGCUGUAAACCUCUUUUCUCAAGGAAGAAGAUCUGACGGUACUUGAGGAAUAAGCCACGGCUAAUUCCGUGCCAGCAGCCGCGGUAAUACGGGAGUGGCAAGCGUUAUCCGGAAUUAUUGGGCGUAAAGCGUCCGCAGGCGGUUCUGUAAGUCUGCCGUUAAAGCGUGGAGCUUAACUCCAUUUCGGCGGUGGAAACUGCAGGACUUGAGUGUGGUAGGGGCAGAGGGAAUUCCCGGUGUAGCGGUGAAAUGCGUAGAUAUCGGGAAGAACACCAGUGGCGAAAGCGCUCUGCUGGGCCAUAACUGACGCUCAUGGACGAAAGCCAGGGGAGCG
RNAcentral lists this ribosomal RNA (379 nucleotides) under uncultured cyanobacterium. Its description in RNAcentral is "bacterial SSU rRNA". It matches the Rfam family "Bacterial small subunit ribosomal RNA", at positions 376 to 770 of the family's 1533-position model. Lineage: Bacteria; Bacillati; Cyanobacteriota. The record is from RNAcentral.